GUGAUCAUCCAGCACUAAUGCACCGGAUCCCAUCAGAACUCCGCAGUUAAACGUGCUUGGGCGAGAGUAGUACUAGGAUGGGUGACCUCCUGGGAAGUCCUCGUGUUGCACCCU
RNAcentral lists this ribosomal RNA (114 nucleotides) under Salix viminalis (osier). The record is from RNAcentral. Lineage: Eukaryota; Viridiplantae; Streptophyta; Magnoliopsida; Malpighiales; Salicaceae.